Molecule: long non-coding RNA, 3275 nt
Filed under: Homo sapiens (human)
Lineage: Eukaryota; Metazoa; Chordata; Mammalia; Primates; Hominidae
Description: non-protein coding lnc-URGCP-MRPS24-2:1
Source: RNAcentral
AUCUUGGACAAUAAAUAUAGUACAUGGCUAUUUUUCAUUUUUAUCAGUCUAAUUCAAAUUGAGGUGUGAGUUUAAAAUGUAUUUAGGAUUAGUCUGCUGAUGCUAGUCAUCUUUCUCCUAUCUAUAUUCAUGUAUGUUGGUGUCCAUGGAUUGGUAUUUAUUUUUUCUAAACAGGUAUAGGCCUCUAUGGACUGAGUCACGCACCACCCCCAUUACAUUACUGAGGACUAUAAUUCAUGUUCUGUCUCACAUUCUCUAAGUGAUCUUUAUAACCCUUUAAUACAUUUUUCUUCCAAACUGAGGUUAGCUGGAAAAAUUUAAGAGAUUCAACAAUGAGCAUCUGUCCUUCCUCUAUACCACUACUAGAGAAAGGUAUUAAUUACCUCCUAGUUUUCAUUUGAAAACAACAAAACACAAGAUCAAUCAAAUAUCAUUUCCCAGUUGAUUAAAACUUAUACAUUUUAUACAUUUCAUAAACAACGUUUCACCACACCAAAAUAUUGUUGAAUUAUAGUUAAAACUGGAUUUAUAAACCGAGUAAACUCAAUAGUACUGUUUAGUCCUUUAUAAAUUUGGUGAUAGAAAAAAAGGAACAUUAACAGCUUUAGAUAAGUGUAGAGCUAGCUGGCAGUUAUUAAUAGAUUUUAUUUGGCCUAAUACUAUGAAGGCUCUUCAUGCCCUGUUUUUAUCUUAUAAACCAAAAAAUGCCAAUACACCUUUACAAGUAUAUUCUGAAGGGCCUCUUAAAAAAGCACCCUAUGACUCAGUAUUUAAGCACAACAGCAGCUAAAGAUACGCAGCAAACUGAAGUGGCCAGCUAAAAGAAAACAGAUCUUUCUCACAAAUACAGCAAUUAUAUUAAAUAUAUUUAUUACGAGUAUAAAAUGGUUUUUAAAAAGCCCAAAUGAUUCUGAUUUUAAAACUUGAUGACAGAUCCAUCAAGUACAAACGUGUCAUUCAAUAGUGGUUAUUUUUUCCUGGUCACCUCCUCCCUAUUUUUUCAGAGAGAUAAAUAUUUGCCUAAUACUGUGUUUAACUUCUUCCAAGACUUACCUGAGACUCAAAACUGUGGCCAUGGAUAUUCAUUAAAAACUCUAUCACUGUGGCACAAUUUCUUCUUCUGCAUUUUGGAGCUUGUUUAGGAAUGCUAGGUUCCAGGAAACUGUAUAAAUAAAGCCAAUUUAGUGAGAAAACAGUGCAACCUGGUUGUCUGAAGUGCCUGAUGAAUUUCACCUAAUGGUGUAAAGGGCACUCCCAGGUGCUUUGACAGGUUCACACAGCAGGACUGGGUGAGAUUACUGACUUUGUAUAUGUCUAUGACAUUUACACACAUUUGGGUAUUUACUGUACAUACUUUAAAAUAGUGGUUAGGUGCUGUCAUUUUCAUGAUUUUGACAGUUGAGAAACCAUGUUAGGGAGAGAGCUUUGUGUGACACCCUAAUCAGACCGUGAAGGGACAGGUCUGAGUUGUUCAUAGUGCAGAGCGAGGCAUGGCCACGGUACACAGCACACAGGUGAUAGGCAAAUAUUUAAUGCACUGAGCCUUUUGUGUGUAAGGAUAAUUAGUUACUUUAAGGUAUUCGGCAUACACUUUUACAUUUCCAUAUUUUAAUUGGACUUUACUGGUCACUGUGGGGCAUAGAUACAACUGAACUGUUCAAUCCUAAUCAAAUAAAACUAUUAGUACAUUCUUAUACAUCUUUUUGGGACAAAGUACCUCCUACUUACAGAGUAUCCAAUGUAAAUUUUUUAUGGACAAAGUAAAUGUUUAUAAAUAUUUUGGCAUUUUAUAACUUUUCCUAGCAUAGCUUGAGGGCUGAUAAGAAACUCAGCAGAAACAGGCUGUGGUUGGCAUGAAGACACUCUCUCUCUCUCUCUCUCUCUCUGCUCUAGGGGAUUUUACUCACUUUGGGACAAAAGCAAUAUAGUAGCAUCUUUUCACUGACCAAGGUAACCAGAGUGUUGAUCAGAUCACACUGAUACCUACAAGUGGCCAAAAUUAAAUGACAAGCAUGGGGGGAGGUGCCAGGAAGUGGCAGGGGUAUAGAGUGUGAGAGAGAACAGAUGCAUGUGAGUGUGGUGUGAUGAGGGAAGCAGCUCAAGAGCUGACACCUAAACCCAGAAUAAUUUCAGAGGUGAAAAAUUACCACCUCUCUUACUAGUGACAUUGAAGAGAAAAAAAAUUAGGGUUUUUCACUGAUAUGUUACUAGUAUUUAGGCAAAAACACAACAGAAACCAAAUCAAGUCACUAUAAAGCAGUAAGAAAAUAUUUAAAAAAGACAUUAUCAAACUUUAGUGAAUGUUAUUCUAAGUCUCGAAAAUUUAGAUGUCUGUUUAGACUAAAAUUUUGCCAAAAACAAAUCCAAAGUGAAAAAGUAGCAAUUUUAGUAGACAUUAACAAACAUUAUGCAGAUAUAGAUACACAUAUGAAUAAUGCAAGAGAUUUACAGAAGUGUAGUUUUGGCACUUUUACUUGGAUUUUUUAAAGAAAGUGAAUACAAAUAUCUUUGUACACAAAUUCUCAUUCUGGAGAAACAGGAUGUAGAAUUCAAAGGUGCCAACAUCUCCCUUCUUAAAAAUAACAUUGAAACGGGUAACUGUACCUGUUAAAUCUCCUGGUUGGCAACUUUUAAAAUCUGGCUUCCACCUAACUCCACAAAUUUGACAAAGUUAUUUUUGUUUGUGUAAGUGAUACUGGUUAUCCACUUCCAGUACAUGUACCAUUUGGCCAGAGGUCCAUAAAUAAUAUUAACAUUUUCAAUGUAGAAAUCUUGAAGUUCUAAAGGGAAAUAUUGCUCAGUAGAUAAAUUCUCCUGGAAUUUCUUGUAGCAAAGGUUCCUCAAAUUUAAAUCGUUUGGAAAUGGCCUUUUGCUCCAUUUUCUCUUUUUCAGACUGUCUGCAUUGUCCUAGAGUAUAUGAAGUAACUACAAUUAACUCUUCGGUUACAAUGGAUUCCUUGGUUUCUGAUUUGUCGGUAUCCGAAUUAAUUUCAGGCACAGAAUGACCUUCUUGGAGGGCAUUUGCUUCUUCUAGUGCCUUUUCCAUCCUGAAAGAAGGCUCUUGAAUACUGCUCUGUGUCAACCAGGGGUGCUUUAGACAUUCUUCAGCAGUGGCUCGAUCUCUGUAAAGAUACAUGUUUUACAGUUAAGACAUGUUAGAACUUCAAUUAAAAUUAGAGCAUAAGGUACUGUAUUUAUUGCAUUAUAUUUUGGGAAGUCUGACAAGUUGGCAAAAAUCUUACUGUGAUUCCUGAAUAAAACUAUUAGUCUUGGAA